Molecule: long non-coding RNA, 543 nt
Organism: Hydra vulgaris (swiftwater hydra)
Lineage: Eukaryota; Metazoa; Cnidaria; Hydrozoa; Anthoathecata; Hydridae
Source: RefSeq, a predicted model, not a curated record
UAAAAAUAGUGUGGACAAAAAACACGACACUUAGUGUAGUGUCUUUUUGGCUACACAAUUUGUGUACUUCAAGGCUACACUUGUGCGCUUUAAAGCCACACUUGUAAUUAUGAAAUUAAACUUCAUUAUAUGCGUAAAAAAAGCCACACUUUGUUGGAUUCUCGUAUCGAAUUAUUCGGAAAGGAGGCUAGAAUCAUGUUUUUAGCGACAUGUUUUUUUUUAUGAACCAUUUUCAGUUUUAUUAAAAAUUUUAGUGUAACUUUUAUUGCUGCAUGGUAAUUUUAAACACAUACAUAGUUAACUUUUUCAUAAAAAAAUUUUGGUUUGUAAUAUUUUAGUAAUAUCGUAUUAAAUAUGUUAAGCGAGGAAAAUAUCGAUUUUCAGUUGUUAAAAAUUAGAAGAUGCAACUUUGCUUGCAUUUAAGGCGCUCCCUUUCCUUAUGAUAGCACCUCCACAGAAGGGCAAGAAGAGUCCAAGAAUUUGGCUUUAUUUUAUAGAGAAAUGGAUGUACACCUCAGUCUUGAAAGCUCCCUUGAGUUAUUG